GCAUACGAGAUCAUGCCUAGUCUCGUGGGCUCGGAGAUGUGUAUAAGAGACAGGGGUAGGGGAGCUUCCCAUACGGGUUGAAGCAUGACCGUAAGGACAUGUGGACAGUAUGGGAGUGAGAAUGUUGGCAUGAGUAGCGAGAUGUGGGUGAGAAUCCCACAGGCCGUAAACCCAAGGUUUCCAGGGGAAGGUUCGUCCGCCCUGGGUUAGUCGGGACCUAAGCUGAGGCCGAAAGGCGUAGGUGAUGGACAACAGGUUGAUAUUCCUGUACUACCGAUAACCGUUUGAGAGAAGGGAUGACACAGUAGGAUAAGCUAAGCACACUGUUGGUUAUGUGUGCCCAAGCAUUGAGGCAGUCAAAGUAGGCAAAUCCGCUUUGAUAAUGCUGGGAUGUGAUGGGGAGCGAAAUUUAGUAGCGAAGUAGCUGAUUUCACACUGUCAAGAAAAGUCUCUAUCGAGGUUAAAGGUACCCGUACCGCAAACCGACACAGGUGGGUGAGGAGAGUAUCCUAAGGCCAGCGAGAGAACUGUUGUUAAGGAACUCGGCAAAAUGACCCCGUAACUUAGGGAUAAGGGGUGCCACCAUCAGGUGGCCGCAGAGAAUAGGCCCAAGCGACUGUUUACCAAAAACAUAGGUUUCUGCUAAGUCGCAAGACGAUGUAUAGGAGCUGACGCCUGCCCGGUGCUGGAAGGUUAAGGGGAUCUGUUAGAGCAAUCGAAGCAGUGAACUUAAGCCCCAGUAAACGGCGGCCGUAACUAUAACGGUCCUAAGGUAGCGAAAUUCCUUGUCGGGUAAGUUCCGACCCGCACGAAAGGCGUAACGAUUUGGGCACUGUCUCAACAACAGACUCGGUGAAAUUGUAAUUCCGGUGAAGAUGCCGGAUACCUGCGACAGGACGGAAAGACCCCAUGGAGCUUUACUGUAGCUUGACAUUGGGUCUUGGUACUACAUGUACAGGAUAGGUGGGAGGCUUUGAAACCAGGACGCCAGUUUUGGCGGAGCCAUCCUUGGGAUACCACCCUUGUAGUACUGGGACUCUAACCAUAGGCCAUGAAUCUGGUCUUGGGACACUGUCAGGUGGGCAGUUUGACUGGGGCGGUCGCCUCCCAAAAGGUAACGGAGGCGCUCAAAGGUUCUCUCAGUACGGUCGGAAAUCGUACGUAGAGUGUAAAGGCAAAAGAGAGCUUGAUUGCAAGACAUACAGGUCGAGCAAGGAUGAAAAUCGGACUUAGUGAUCCGGUGGUUCUGCGUGGAAGGGCCAUCGCUCAACGGAUAAAAGCUACCCUGGGGAUAACAGGCUUAUCUCCCCCAAGAGUCCACAUCGACGGGGAGGUUUGGCACCUCGAUGUCGGCUCAUCACAUCCUGGGGCUGUAGUAGGUCCCAAGGGUUGGGCUGUUCGCCCAUUAAAGUGGUACGCGAGCUGGGUUCAGAACGUCGUGAGACAGUUCGGUCCCUAUCCGUCGCAGGCGUAGGAAAUUUGAGAAGACCUGUCCUUAGUACGAGAGGACCGGGAUGGACGUACCUCUGGUGUACCAGUUGUCCUGCCAAGGGCAUGGCUGGGUAGCUAUGUACGGAAUGGAUAAGCGCUGAAAGCAUCUAAGCGCGAAGCCAACUUCAAGAUAAGAUUUCCCACCGCAAGGGUAAGACCCCAGAAAGACUAUCUGGUUGAUAGGUCGAAGGUGUAAGUGCAGCAAUGUAUUUAGCUUAUCGAUACUAAUAGGUCGAGGACUUGACCAA
RNAcentral lists this ribosomal RNA (1739 nucleotides) under Clostridioides difficile. RNAcentral describes it as "bacterial LSU rRNA". It matches the Rfam family "Bacterial large subunit ribosomal RNA", at positions 1190 to 2925 of the family's 2925-position model. Lineage: Bacteria; Bacillati; Bacillota; Clostridia; Peptostreptococcales; Peptostreptococcaceae. The record is from RNAcentral.